AAAUUGAAGAGUUUGAUCAUGGCUCAGAUUGAACGCUGGCGGCAGGCCUAACACAUGCAAGUCGAACGGUAACAGGAAGCAGCUUGCUGCUUUGCUGACGAGUGGCGGACGGGUGAGUAAUGUCUGGGAAACUGCCUGAUGGAGGGGGAUAACUACUGGAAACGGUGGCUAAUACCGCAUAACGUCGCAAGACCAAAGAGGGGGACCUUCGGGCCUCUUGCCAUCAGAUGUGCCCAGAUGGGAUUAGCUUGUUGGUGAGGUAACGGCUCACCAAGGCGACGAUCCCUAGCUGGUCUGAGAGGAUGACCAGCCACACUGGAACUGAGACACGGUCCAGACUCCUACGGGAGGCAGCAGUGGGGAAUAUUGCACAAUGGGCGCAAGCCUGAUGCAGCCAUGCCGCGUGUAUGAAGAAGGCCUUCGGGUUGUAAAGUACUUUCAGUCGGGAGGAAGGUGUUGUGGUUAAUAACCACAGCAAUUGACGUUACCCGCAGAAGAAGCACCGGCUAACUCCGUGCCAGCAGCCGCGGUAAUACGGAGGUGCAAGCGUUAAUCGGAAUUACGUGGCGUAAAGCGCACGCAGGCGGUCUGUCAA
Molecule: ribosomal RNA, 595 nt
Filed under: Salmonella enterica subsp. enterica serovar Agona str. SA-1
Lineage: Bacteria; Pseudomonadati; Pseudomonadota; Gammaproteobacteria; Enterobacterales; Enterobacteriaceae
Description: bacterial SSU rRNA
Rfam family: Bacterial small subunit ribosomal RNA
Source: RNAcentral